CAGAAAAUAGUUUAGUUUAGAAUUCUAGCUUUGGGAGUUAGAGGUGGGAGUUGAAAU
This 57-nucleotide transfer RNA is filed under the name Brachyplatystoma platynemum (slobbering catfish). RNAcentral's name for it is "partial tRNA-Pro". Lineage: Eukaryota; Metazoa; Chordata; Actinopteri; Siluriformes; Pimelodidae. The record is from RNAcentral.